CCUCAAUUAACCACAAGUUAAUGUCAGACAGAAAUGUCAGGAACUUAUUCUGCUGCUGGAGAACAAAGUACUGUCUCAUGACUGAACAAACCCUACAGAGGCAUGAGAGGAAUGAAAUCUAUGAUACACAGACCUCUGGGACAAUCUGCGUGGAGAAUCGUGGUUUUUCCAGUGUGGCAGAUUUGACAAACAUAAAAGCUGCCAUCAGUGGCCGAUCCUCCCCAGCAGCUCGGCAGGUUAAAAGAAGAAACAGAGAUCGGGUGGCUGCUGAGCGUGACACUGUCCACACUGCCAUUUCAGCUGACCACCUGGAUUGGAGGCCGACUUUGUCAAUAAAGUUGAGGUUAAGUAACACUCUUCUGUUAGCGGUACUUACUUGUGUUUGUCAGCAUUUGCCUGUAACAAAAUGAGCAGAGCUUUCAACUGUUUUCAGCCCAGUUAAUGAAUCAGGAGAAUCUCCAGCAUAAGUUAUCACAUUAAAAGAAACGCACACACUGAUGCAGGACAAGUAAAGCUUCUUGCAGCUUUGAUUUGUUGAGGCAAGCAUGUCAUUACUGCACACUCUUAGUUUCUCAUUGUUACAUGUGGAGCGAAUUUUGCAAAAGACGAAUGAAACACAAUUGAGUCUUAUUUUGGAGAGUAGAUGGAAAGCUUUUUCAGUAAUGCAGCUUCAGUAUUGUGUUUUUGUGACAGACAGGUAUAGUUUGAAGCAAGUUGUUUGUGUGUUUUCAUUGUAGCAAAUAGCUUUGGAUCUUCUAGCUGAGUUUCAAUAGCUGAGUAAUUGUACACGGUGCUCAACUUCUCUUCCAAUUCAUGUGCAAAAUGCAUAAAUACAAUAACUAUGCAGAGGCAGAAAAACACUGUAAUCAUGCAAUAACAUCUCCAACUGUAUGUGUGAUAGAAUUCAAAAUGCUAUUGGGAUUAUAGUUCUUAACCAUUGGGAUGUAAUGUGAACUGUUGGCAGAAAUGACUUAUUUCAUUAUACUGUCCCAAAUAUACACAAUACUUCAGCGAGAGGGCCGCUUCUUCCCUAUCCCUGCCCAAUUUGAACUGUUUUCCCCAGUUGUUCGAAGGAUAGGCCUGCAAUUUUUUGAAGUGACUAUUAUUUGCCUUUCUCAAGGAAUCAACAACUUGAAAGUACAGUGCAAUGAAUUGUUAGGCUUCGGCAGCUGCAUAUUUACUAUUUGCAAUAUGUCUCUUCUAUGAAACAUCUCAGAGUUUAGAGCAUAAAGCCUUUAUUUAAUUUCCUCUUGGAAGUGAACUGCAAGCCUCUUCCUAAGUGAAAAGCAUUUACCAUGCUGCUUAAUAUUUUGUUUACAGCAGGGUGCUAAUGGUGUUUUUCUCUUAAACCAUUAGGACAUUUGAAACAACACAAAGUGUCCCGUGUUUCUGCAUUCCUGACACAUUCUUGCCCUUGAUCAACUGCAGAAGGCAGACAAUAGCGCAGAUCAUUUUCCCCAGGCAGGGAAACACAGCAUGGAUCAACUCAAUAACCUGAUAUUCCCUCACUACUGAGUGUGGCCAAUUUAGCAGAAGGUCAAAUGUGACAACAGCUUCAACUUCCUCAGACGUGAGUCGAGGGGGAAAAACCACAAGUGUGGGUGCUCAGUAUUUUCUUUUGGUGACAAGAGCUGGCCUUCAGUGUUAUUCAGCCCAUUGGAAACAAUUUCAGAUAUGAAAGGAGACGUUUUGUAUCUGAAAAUGUACAUUAAAUGGUGUCAACAACAUCCCGGAGGUCAGAGUAUAGUCCCCAUGGAGACUGAAUCUGGCUGCUGCGCUCAAAGACUCGACACCCCCCUGAGUGGCGGCUCUGUGAUGGCUCUCAGUUUCUCUCGUCAUGUCCCUGGCAGCUUUGACACAGGGAGCAAAACAAGGACUCUGAGCUGCCACCGGGCACUGGACUCAUCCAGGGCUUUCAGCCUUCAAGAGGACUGAAGUCCGCCUUUAAGGGGCCCUGAGACGAGCUUGCGGUGAGGGAAGUAAAAGGAAGCGGUGUGUCGGCGGGGACCACAGGCUAUUGCUUAGUUGACUGGUAAUCAUAAAUCGGAGGGCUUUUGUACUGAAAGUGUUGGGGGGAAUGCAGUUUGUGAGGUAUUAAUGCAUGAAAUAGCAUUUCAAGCUGAUAAACGGUUCGCAGAAUGGUCAGUCUGCGCAGAUUGUUCUUCCCUCUUUCUUUUUCAUGAAGGCAUAUUGUUUGCAAUAACAUUUACCAGGAGAAUUUAUUCCACUUCAUCUCAUGUUUUCCUGCCAGACAGCUUGGUAUUGCUGUUGUGGAGGGAGGUGGCCUGUCAUACUCAGCUGUAAUAUUCACUCCUCCUGCCUGUCCUCUUUGGAUUAUUGUCUUUUCAUAUUAGACUGUGUUGAAUUGGCCACAAUAUGAGCUGUCAUGCAGUCACUUAACUUGGCCCCUUCAAUUGAUUUCUUGCUACGUCUCCCAUGUGGUUGUUAAAAUCAAUUAACUAUAAGUAACUGGGCAACAAAACGCAUUUGUAA
Micropterus dolomieu (smallmouth bass) is the source of this 2493-nucleotide long non-coding RNA. RefSeq lists it as uncharacterized. The record is from RefSeq and is a predicted model, not a curated record. NCBI's taxonomy places the organism in Eukaryota, Metazoa, Chordata, Actinopteri, Centrarchiformes, Centrarchidae. The transcript is spliced from 6 exons.